RNAcentral lists this long non-coding RNA (2023 nucleotides) under Homo sapiens (human). Its description in RNAcentral is "HSALNT0262484". The record is from RNAcentral. Lineage: Eukaryota; Metazoa; Chordata; Mammalia; Primates; Hominidae.
CAGAGACCCAGGUGGCGGCCGCCGGCGUAGCUGAAGGUGGGCAGGGGCUGAGAAAGUCGCGCCAGAGCCGGCCCGGCUGUUGCGGAGUGAUGCAGGGAGAGGGAGAAGCCCAGACUCUCAUUCAUUCGACACAUAUUUCUUGAGCACCUUCUGUGGGCCAGGAGCUGGGGAUACACCAGUGAACAAAACAAGGUCUCUGCCCUGGUGGAAAAGCCUGACUUCCAAAUCCAAGUUCACAGCCUACAGGCUAUGUGACAGUGGAUGAGUUGCUUAACGUCUCUGUUCCUCAGUUUCCUGUCCGCACAAUGAGACUAAUCAUCGUCCCCACCUAUUCGGAUUGUAAUUAACUGAGUUGAUUCGUGCAGGGUCCUGGCACACGGUAAGGGCUCAUUAACUAUCAGUGGCCCAGUCCGUAAGCAUGUGCAGUGUAAUUUUAGAUGACUGCUGUGAAGAAAAUCAGCGGAAAGUGUUGAGAGAGAGGGCGCUGGAUUAGAGGAAGUGAUCCGAAAAGGCCUCUGAACGGAGACCCGAAGGGAGGGAGCGAACCACGCAGAGAUCUGUGGGCGAGAGGUUUUGGGCAGGGGAACCGCGUGCAAAGGCCCUCGGUGGCCUGCAGGGCAGGGAAGCGCCCGUGCAGCUGGCGGCGGUGGGCAGCAGGAGGUGAGGAGAAGUAGGCGGGCCCGGGUUUAUCCUAAGUGUGAUGGGGCCACUGCAGGGUCCUGAGCUCGGGCGUGAUGCCAUCUGUCCAUUUUUUAAAUUAUGCGGGCUGCGCGUGAGACUGGAGUGUACGGGGCUAGGGUGGGAGUGGGGAGACCCGUGAGGGGGCUGUUGCAAUGAUCCAGGUGAGAGAUUGCAGAGGUGGUGAGUAGUGGUCUGAUUUGGGAUAUGUUUUGGAGGUUCGAUCCGUAGGAUUGCUGAAAGGUAUGAAGGUGGGGGAAAGAAGAGUCAAGGUGAUUUAAUGUUUGAGGUCCGCAUCACUGGGUAAAUGGAGCACCCUUUGUUGCCAUGGGGAAGGCUGCAAAAGGAACGGGAAUGGGGUCCCAGAUUCAGGGUGGGGCGAGCCCACAGGGAAGUGAGAGGGACCACAGAAGCGAUGGCUUCCACACGAGUUAAGGCAGCAGCGCUUCAAGCAGGAAGUGUGGCCUGAGAAAGGGGGUCAUUCUAGGGGGCGUGGCCAACGAGAAAGGGGCGUGGCCAAUGGCGAAAAAGGCAGGCUGAGUGACAGAUUACCCAAGGGCGAGAGCAGGGAGCGGAAAGAAGCCUUCCUGGUACCCCUGCCACCCUCAGCCCCCAGGCCUUUGACCACCUCUCUGCCACCUUUAGAGCUCUGGUGGACAUUCUGAGACAUCAGGCGGGGCCUGGGACCCGCCCGGACCGGGCCCGAAGCAGCUCCCUGACCCCGGGGAUCGGCGGUCCCGACAGCAUGCCCCCCAGGACGCCCAAGAACCUCUACAACACCGUGAAGACCCCCAACCUCGAUAAUCUGCACCACAGCUACCUGCACCUCAACGUCAACAGCCCCAAGCACCACGCCGCCACACUGGGUGCGGAAGAGGGCCCGGCUGCGGAAAAGAGCAGGCCUCCUUCCCUUCCCCCUUUGUGUUGGGCCAGCCAUGCCAGGUGCCCAGUAUAGAGCAGGAGUGAGACCCCUGUGAGCCCAGUCCUCAUGGCGCUCAUGGUCUGGCCAGGUCACCAAGUGAGCCUGUUUCCUCGUGUGGAUGCCAAAAGUGGUCAUCUCUCUCCCACAUUGUUGAUGGAGCCUGGGGCCAGGCACUCAGUGGGUGCUGACAAAUGCCCAGUACCCCCCUCUUGGGGCCCUCUUCCCCAGCAUCAAGCCCGUCUCCUGAGCAGAGGGGCUGGGGUGAGAAGAGGGAGCCUGAACUGCUGGAACUGAUGGGCUACAAUCUCAGAUUUCUAACUCCCCAAAGAACUGCUGGGUCUGAGGGAGGAGGGGCUGGGGGCCUGGACGCCUGGGUCUGAGGGAGGAGGGCUGAGCCUGGAUCCUGGGUCUGAGGGAGGAGGG